AAAUUGAAGAGUUUGAUCAUGGCUCAGAUUGAACGCUGGUGGCAGGCCUAACACAUGCAAGUCGAACGGUAACAGGAAACAGCUUGCUGUUUCGCUGACGAGUGGCGGACGGGUGAGUAAUGUCUGGGAAACUGCCUGAUGGAGGGGGAUAACUACUGGAAACGGUA
Molecule: ribosomal RNA, 167 nt
Filed under: Escherichia coli
Lineage: Bacteria; Pseudomonadati; Pseudomonadota; Gammaproteobacteria; Enterobacterales; Enterobacteriaceae
Description: partial 16S ribosomal RNA
Rfam family: Bacterial small subunit ribosomal RNA
Source: RNAcentral